AUUUGACUCUUUAAACGCCAACUUGAGCUCAGAAAACAAAAUUGAUGUUGAAAAUGCAUCUGAGCUUAAUGAGGACGACAACAUGAGUGAAAUUUCUGUAGAGGACACGGUUGACUGCUCAGAAUUUGUAAAAAGCGAACCUGAAAACCACAAGAAUCUAAUUUCUGAAAAUUCAGUGGAGUUCGCUCGAUUGUCCCAACAAAAGUCCCCGAUCUUAGUAGAGAAAGCGGUUGUAUAUCAAAAGGUCCAGACUACUCCAAAUCAAGUGUACAAGGUCACUGGAGUAACUGAACAUCAGACCGCUGAACUCACAGCUAUUGUAAAUGAAGACAAUGCUGAUGGAUGUGAUGAGUUCUUCUGGUCAGCUCCAAUCGAUAAUGCAGAUGAAACCAUAGGCUUAUCAGAAAGAACCUCAUGGAUGAGUAAAGAUAGAUAUAUACCAGAACCUCUGAACAAGCCGGAUAAUUUCGAUGUGCCAAGUACUAGUGGUACGAAAGACAUUCCUCAAGAGAAUGGAAGUUCUGUAAAAGAAGACAUUCCUUCUAGUUCCUCAGUUCAAAGUGAAACUCCCAAAACUCAAAGUGAACCAGCUAAGGAGAAACCGAAAAUGAAAGCCAAUAUCCAUCAUCAACCGAAGCAGAUGAGGAAUCUGAAACGUGAAAGGAACCAGAGAUACAGGAAGAAUCUCUCUGAAAGGAAACAAUUCUGGCAAUCCCAGAAUGCAUAUUUCUCACAUCAAGACAAGAAUCUAAAGUUUGAGAACAAUCCUGUCAAAAAGCAUGAGAGUCACAACAACCGAAAGCCAAGGUUCGGUUCAGAAGAAAAUACCAACCGAAAGCAAAGGUUCGGUUCAGAAGAAAAUACCAACCGAAAGCAAAGGUUCGGUUCUGAGAAUGACUCCAACCGAAAGCAUAGGUUCGGUUCACAGAACGAAUUCAACCGAAAGCAAAGGUUCGGUUCUGAAGUCAAAAGAUAUCAAAACUCUAAGGUCAGUCCCACCAAUGAUCAAAAGCAAAAGGGUCACCUAGAGUCUCCAGCCAAGAAGUCAUCUCAAUCUAAGCCCACUCCUUCUCAUUCAUCUACUUCUUCUAAUUCUUCCAAUUCAUCUCCAUCUAGCUUUAAAGCUCAUUCUGUUAGUUCUCAAAAAUCUCAUUCGACAGCUGAACAAAAAAGGCAAACAGAAGGUUGAUGCAUCCAAACCAGAGUCUAAACCAAACGCACCUAAUCCUAACAAAAUCAAAGUUUUUACCAUUAAAAAGAAAGAUGAAACAACACUUAUAAAACGAACAUAUCUUGUUGACAUCUCUCUUACUAUUCUUGUUCCCAUGAAAGGCUCACGAGGACCCAAGAAACUUUGGGUUCCUAAAUCUGCUUAACUUUUGCAGGUUAUAAGUGACGAGCAGUUCGACGAAGAAUGGUACAUCGACAUUGGCUGCUCGCGUCACAUGACAGGGAGGAAAGAAGAGCUCAGGGAAUACAGAUCUCUUUCAAAUGGUGGCAACGUCAAGUUUGGAAACAAUUCUUUCGGCACCAUAAAGGGAUACGGAAUGAUAACUAAUGGUGAUUUUACUAUAAGGAAGGUGGCUUAUGUGGAAGGACUACAACACAACCUCAUCAGUGUAUCUCAGCUUGUUGGAGGUACAGGUCUCAAAGUCUCAUUCGACGAUGAAGGUUCUGAAAUUAUUGAGAAGAAGACAAAGAAAGUAAUUCUCAAGUCGGAGCGUAAGGGUGAAAUGUUUCCUCUAAACCUUAAACCCAUCAAAGGAAACCCAGCUAUAUGCUUGUUAUCAAAAGCUCAAUCUGACGAAAGCUGGUUGUGGCACCGAAGACUCUCUCAUCUCAACUUUAAAGAUAUCAACAAACUUGUCACUGGAGGUCAUGUUCGAGGCCUUCCAUUGCUCAAGUUCGACAGAGAUCAUUUGUGUGCUGCAUGCGAAAUGGGGAAGCAGAGUCGUCAAAGUCAUCCAUCUAUAAUUAACACAAAAGUUGUUGAACCACUCGAAUUACUUCAUAUUGAUUUGUGUGGUCCAUCAUCUAUCGAAAGCAUCGGUGGUAGCAAGUAUAUUCUUGUUAUUGUUGAUGACUUUUCACGAUUUACAUGGGUGUUCUUUCUAAAGCUCAAAUCUGAAGCGACUCAUAAGCUGAAAGUGUUCAUCAAGCAGAUUGAAGUACAGCUCAAGAAGGUCGUUCGCAACAUCAGAAGCGACAAUGGUCUGGAAUUCAAGAACAGGGAAUUUGAAGAAUUUCUAGCAGAAAAGGGAAUAAGUCACAACUUCUCAGCUCCCUACACACCUCAACAGAACGGAAUUGUCGAAAGACGAAACCGAUCUUUGUGUGAAGCUGCCCGAACUAUGCUAAGUUUCGCUUCCUUACCUCUUUAUUUUUGGGCUGAUGCAAUUUCUGCUGCUUGUUUUACACAGAACAGGUCUUAUCUCAACAAACGAUUCACGCUCACACCAUACGAGAUUCUCAACAACAGAAAGCCCAAUGUGAAAUUUUUCCAUGUGUUCGGCUCACGGUGUUUCAUCUUUAACUCUAAAGAACACCGCAACAAGUUCGAUGUCAAAGCCGACGAGGGAAUCUUUCUGGGUUACUCUCUCACUUCCAAAGCAUACAGAGUCCUAAACAAGCGUUCGAGAAAAAUCGAAGAGACCUAUUACGUGACUUUUGACGAUAGCUAUGUCAAAAAGCUACAGGCCAAAGAAGACACAGCUGGGGAAAUCUUUCCUCAAACUGGCCAAGUCACAGUCUCGAUCGCUAAUCUAUACGAGAAGUUUCUGGAGCUAUUUGACGAACCAGAGAAAGCUACUCUCUCAGAAGCAGGUGCAGCAGACAACAAGGUAGACCACAUGAAGCAAAUUGUCGAAGAAGCUGCCAGGAGAAUGAAUGAAGGAGGAUCGAAUUCUGAUGAACCUCCAUCCAACGAUGCUUCAGUCGAGGGGGAGCCAAGCUCACAUGUUGAGGGGGAGCCAAGCUCUACAACUGCUACCGAAAGUCCAACUGCAACCGAAAGUGCUUCUCCAACCGAAGGUGCAUCAACGCCUGAAAGUCCAGCACCACAAGAAACCUCUGAACCUCAAGUUUCUCAUAGCUCAUCAAUCGAGGGGGAGCAUGGUGAUAUGUCACUUGACUACGAAAGCCAAUCCGAGCCAGAAGAAAUGAUCAAUGCUGAACUAGACCCAACCUUUGAUCCAAAUUAUCCUCCUCUUACCAAAUGGACCAGAGAUCAUCCUAUCUCUCAAGUGGUUGGUGAUGUCUCUGAAAAGGUUCUGACCCGAUCACAACUGAAGGCAAAACAGACAUCCUUAUUUUCAAAGGUUGAGUUUUGUAUGUUUAACUCAUUCGUAUCAAAAGUUGAACCGAAGACAGUUAACACUGCUCUCGAUCACUCCGAUUGGGUUCAAGCAAUGCAAGACGAACUGAACGAAUUUGAAAGGAACAAAGUCUGGCGCCUCAUUCCAACUCCUCCAGAUGCCUCGGUUGUUGGUCUCAAAUGGGUCUUUAGGAAUAAAAUGGACAAGGAAGGGAAUGUUAUAAGGAACAAAGCUCGUCUGGUAGUAAAGGGAUAUUGUCAGGAGGAAGGGAUUGAUUAUGAAGAGACUUUCGCUCCUGUAGCUAGGCUGGAAUCUGUAAGAAUAUUUCUUGCUUAUGCUGCCCACAAAAACUUUGAAGUUUUCCAAAUGGACGUCAAGUGUGCAUUUCUUAAUGGAGAACUCGAAGAAACCGUGUAUGUGGAGCAACCUCCUGGGUUCGUGAACGAAAAAUAUCCAAAUCAUUGCUACAUUCUGGAUAAAGCUGUGUAUGGCCUCAAACAAGCUCCGAGAGCCUGGUAUGAAACGCUAACUAAAUUCUUAAAGAUGUCUAAAUUCAAACAAGGUUCGGUUGACCCAACCUUCUUUCGCAAAAAGGAAGGUAACCACCUUAUGAUAGUUCAAAUUUAUGUCGAUGACAUCAUCUUUGGCUCAACGAAUCCCAGCCUAACAGCUGAAUUCAGAAAGCUGAUGGAGACUAAAUUUGAAAUGAGCUCAAUGGGUCCUAUUAACUUUUUCCUUGGUUUAAAUAUUAGACAGGGACCCGAAGGCAUCUUUAUCAAUCAGGAAGCUUACACGAAGACUCUCCUAGCAAAGUUUGGUAUGAUGGGAGACUCCAAAGUCAAAGUCCCAAUGGCAUUCGGCACCAAGCUAACUCCAUCCCUAGACAAACCGGCUGUUGAUAUCACGCUCUAUCGUCAAAUGAUAGGCUCACUAAUGUAUCUUACUGCUAGCAGGCCUGACAUCAUGUUUUCUGUGUGUUAUUGUGCUCGAUUUCAGGCAAACCCACGCGAACCUCACAUGCUUGCAGUGAAGAACAUUUUACGCUAUCUCAAGCGAACCACCUCCUUAGGUCUAUGGUAUCCUUCCAACUCAGGCUUCUUCGUUCAAGCCUAUUCAGAUGCUGACCUUGGAGGAUGUGGACUCGACAGAAAAAGCACCACUGGUGGCUGUCAAUUCCUUGACGGGAAGUUGGUUAGCUGGCAAUCCAAGAAACAAACGUGCGUGUCGUUGUCUACUGCCGAAGCGGAAUACAUAGCCGCUGCAUCCUGCACCUCACAAGUGAUUUGGAUCCAGAGUCAACUUCGAGACUAUGGACUCAAUAUGAAGAAGAUCCCACUAUAUUGUGACUCUGAAAGUGCAAUUAGGAUCUGUCAUAACCCAGUGCAACACUCUAAAACCAAACACAUAGCACUGAGGUAUCACUUCAUCAAAGAUCACGUGGAAGAUGGAAACGUCGAAGUUCACUUCGUAAGAACCACUGAUCAACUGGCUGACGUCUUUACCAAAGCUCUUCCUGAAGCAUCAUUCAACAGAAUAUUGCAAGGGCUAGGUAUGAUGGAAUCAGAGUCAGUACCUCAAACUACCUCUCAACCUCAAACGUAAGAAGCGAAACUGACCGAACGUUCGGGUUCGGUUAAAUCAUCUGACUCGCUCAUCACCACAAAGGUAGUUUUCUUGGUUGUAUAUUUCUUGUACAAAGUUGUUUAUCUUAUUGUUAAAAGUAUUUUCUGAUUACAUGUCUAAAUUCCUUGGUUUUCUAAAAUUUUCCAAAACCGAAACCUACCGAAGGUUCGGGUUCGGUUUCUCAAAAUUUUCCAAAACCGAAACCUACCGAAGGUUCGGGUUCGGUUUCUCAAAAUUUUCCAAAACCGAAACCUACCGAAGGUUCGGGUUCGGUUUUUCAAAAUUUUCUUGAACCGAAACCAACCGAACGCUCGGGUUCGGUUUUUCAAAAUUUUCUUCAACCGAAACCAACCGAACGCUCGGGUUCGGUUUUUCAAAAUUUUCUUAAACCGAAACCAACCGAACGCUCGGGUUCGGUUUUUCAAACUUUUCCCAACUAACACCAACCGAACGUUCGGGUUUGGUUACCAAAUUUUUCAUAAGUUUUUUUUUAAGUCUAUUUUUUUCUUGCUUAAUUUUUUUUAAUUUUUUAUUUUAUCUAUUUCAAAAACUCCAAAAAUAAUUUUUUUUUCUUUUAAUUUUGUUUGUGUGAUUGUUCAUUAAUGGGGAUAUAAUUGGUGGAUUACUUAAGUGUCCCUAGAAGCAUACUGAUGUAUGUGUCUCAAGCCUCAUAAGAUUCUGAAUAACAGCCUUCAUGACCUGGUAUUAACAAACCUUGUCUUCCCAAUAAGGCUACUACGUUUAUUCUAAUCGUGAGCUACCUCACUCUCUUCUCACAUGAGUUAAGAGUUUUUCUGCUUGGUCCUUAUUUUCGCAGCAGAGGUACUUUAAUUUCUUACACCAUCUCCAUUACAUUUCUCCAUUACAUUCGUUUCAUCAACGUAACCCUUGAGACUCUCAGAAAUUACCACUGAGGUUUAUGGUUACACAACAACUGUGUUUAUGAUCUUAGUUUCGUGCCACUACGAGCUGAGUGAAACCCAAAAUUCAACACCAAAUCUGAAUUGACGGUGAACAAUUAAUUUGCUCAAGUUUUCACCAAAGAAUUGACGGAUGUACCUUCAUGAAAUCUCAAAUUUUAUUUUGUGUGAUUCCUAUGAAAUUGUUAAACACCAUAACAUUUCUUCCCUUGGGAUCCAGUUUUUAAUUUUUUUUGAGAUUUUAUAUUUUCCAAGCUAUUUAAAAUUAAUUCCUACCUACUUGUUCAACAGACUACACCGGUCUCACAAGUACUUUGUUCACUUUCUUUCUUAUUUCAAGAUUAGAAUUGCUGAAUCAAAGCGAAAGCCACCCUUACUUAGCCUAAUUAAAAGAAGCCUUUCAACAUUUAUUAAUAAAUGUUUGAUCGUAAUUCAACGGGAAUCCACAUAAACACUUUAAGGUCUCUCUUGAUCUUGAAGGAAGAGAUUCGUGCCCGGGAUCACUUGUUUCGUGUCUUUAUUGACAUCACAUUUAUUCCUUACAAGAGUUGCUUUAUUCCUUUUUUUUACACUCUUAGCACGAAAAUCUUUGAUUUUCCAAAAUUCCGUUACUAAUUAUUACAUGCUGUAUUAUUACUUUGGUGGUUAAUUAUGAAGCUGUGGUCACAAAUCAUCCACGUGGGCAAUUAAUUCAAAAGAUGCCUUUUCGAAGAUAAGACAAAGGGUUGCUGACUCAGGCGGGAGUUAAAAGGAUUGAAUUUCAAACGACGGUAAAAAAAAGGGGCGUGUGUGGAUUUGAAACGCCCAUACUUUUACUGACAUCAGGGACGCGUGUGCGAAUUUCAAGCGACAUCUCUCUGGCACUUAAAGGCGCGUGAGGAUUUGAAGCGGUUUUCUUCUGAAACGGCGCUUGUUGGGUGGCGUGAUCCUAGGAAUCUGACACUCUAUCUCCUAUGUGAUCAUCGCAUAGAAGAUUUGAAACGAUUUUUCACUCUCCAUUCCCUCACUAUAAAAGGCAGUCUACACUCUCAUUUACCUUUUUACUGCUUCCGGAUUUUCUAGAGAGCAAAAACUCCCAAAAGCUUCACUGUUCAUCUUCUUCUUCUACUACCUUCAACAAUGGCGGAAUCAUCCUCAGUCCAUGCUACCUCCCACAUCCUUCCUAUUCGUCCUCAACAAUGCCUGGUGAUCGAUCUCAACCCUCUGGCGUACGACUCCUACAUGUCGCCGAUCAUCGAGUGCCUGAAGUACUCCCAAAUCGCUCCGGCUCUCUCCAGGAUUGAGUCUGUGCCCAUGGCGACUCUCUCGCAGGUUUAUGCGACUGCCUAUUACGACAAAGCAGUCGAGCGGGUGUUCUUCGAGGUUGCUGAUCACAAGACCUCCAUUUCUCGACAACGUUUCUGCACACUGCUAGGGUUGGCUGCUGACCCAUCGAGAAUUAAUCCGGAGACGAUUCCGGUUGGGCAUCUGUAUAGCAUGUUUUACAAUAUGGGGUACACGGAGGUCCUCACCUCCGUCGCAAAGUUCAAGAAAUCUUGCUUGCCGCCACAGUGGAACGGCAUGUUCACAGUCCUCUUCAAGGGCUUAUCAGAACGGAGCUCAGGAUCCGAUGGCGCUAGUCGACUGUUCUUGUCGAUCAUGUAUGCAGUUUACAACGGGGUCAACUUAGAUUUUGGGUUGGUUCUCUGGCAACAGCUCAUCCAGAGCCUUUCUUCUUCAUCACGACAUUCUGAGGUGUCGUAUGCCCGGUUCUGGACUCUAAUCACAAAGUGGGCAAUGGACAAGUUUGAUAUUCCCACUGCUGCUGGUGCAUCGAUGUCUUCAAUCGGUACGUUUCAUACCAAGAAGAUCAUCGUCUCUGAUGCAUCUAAAUUCUCGUUCAUUGGCUCUAUUCCGGAGACAAUGUAUGGCGACGUUCCCUCUGACAGCAGGCUAAUCCGGACGAUCAAGGAGUUCAGGGCAACUGGACCUAGGGACCUUACACCGGAAAUGCUGAAGUCCAUCCACGAUGCUGACAAACCGGUGAACAGGGGCAAAAAGGCGGACAAAGGGAAGCAAGUGACCAAAGCUGCUAAAGGUCCUUCUCCCAGGAAGAGGAAACAAACGAAACCUGCCCAGUCACCGCAGCCGAAGAGAAGGAAGACUCAACCGAAGCGAAAACUUCUUAUCCCUUCCUCUUCGAGUGACUCAGAAAACGAGAGUUCGGGUUCGGACGGCUCUCAAGGAGGCGAAACCCCUCAAAGAGGCAACACACCACCCCGCUCACCUACCCCAGAGAUGGAACUUCAUAAUUCACCAGUUCCUUCACCUCCUCAAACCAUCCCUACUUCCAUUCCGACCAUAAUCCCCACUACCACUAUUCCUCCAACCUCUUUCCCUAUACCACCACCCAUUUUCACAGAUACCACCACAACCACUACAAAGGUUACAACCAACGUAUCUGAUACGGGGGUUCAUACCACUACAACCGAAACACCCCCCGUAACCGAACCACCUCAAACCGAAACCCAGCAUACAACCGAACCUACCCAUACUCAACCACCACCCGAAACUACCCCCACACCCACUCAACCUGAACCUACCAAAACCACCACACCCCCAGCUUCACCACCCCCACCAUCUCCAGAUCAUGCCUCUGAUGGAGAUAACCCGUUUCUUGGCGGUGAAAACGUGAACUUCGAUUCGGUCUAUUUUAGUCCGUUUCAGGUUCAAAGUGACGAAGAGGAUGAUGCUCCAGUGACAAAGAAACAUCUGAAGGAGCUAAACGAGAAGGUUGAUCUGCUUCUUGCGUCAUCCACAAAUGCUCAAUCAUCUCUCUCUAAAGCCGCUC
RNAcentral lists this long non-coding RNA (8687 nucleotides) under Lactuca sativa (garden lettuce). RNAcentral's name for it is "long non-coding RNA (LSAT_LNC001320)". The record is from RNAcentral. Lineage: Eukaryota; Viridiplantae; Streptophyta; Magnoliopsida; Asterales; Asteraceae.